UUAGAGUUUGAUCCUGGCUCAGAUUGAACGCUGGCGGCAUGCUUUACACAUGCAAGUCGAACGGCAGCACGGGGGCAACCCUGGUGGCGAGUGGCGAACGGGUGAGUAAUAUAUCGGAACGUACCCAAGAGUGGGGGAUAACGUAGCGAAAGUUACGCUAAUACCGCAUACGAUCUCAGGAUGAAAGUGGGGGACCGCAAGGCCUCACGCUCCUGGAGCGGCCGAUAUCUGAUUAGCUAGUAGGUAGGGUAAAGGCCUACCUAGGCGACGAUCAGUAGCUGGUCUGAGAGGACGACCAGCCACACUGGAACUGAGACACGGUCCAGACUCCUACGGGAGGCAGCAGUGGGGAAUUUUGGACAAUGGGGGCAACCCUGAUCCAGCAAUGCCGCGUGAGUGAAGAAGGCCUUCGGGUUGUAAAGCUCUUUUGUCAGGGAAGAAACGGGUUCGGAUAAUACCUGGGCCUAAUGACGGUACNUGAAGAAUAAGCACCGGCUAACUACGUGCCAGCAGCCGCGGUAAUACGUAGGGUGCAAGCGUUAAUCGGAAUUACUGGGCGUAAAGCGUGCGCAGGCGGUUUUAUAAGUUUGUCGUGAAAGU
This 600-nucleotide ribosomal RNA is filed under the name bacterium enrichment culture clone F61x_D31_T3_G04. RNAcentral describes it as "bacterial SSU rRNA". It matches the Rfam family "Bacterial small subunit ribosomal RNA", at positions 1 to 601 of the family's 1533-position model. The record is from RNAcentral.